AUAAAAUUAUGCUAUUAAAACUGUAAUUUUUACAAGGGAAUCUGUAUUUAUGGCCUCUGUAUUUAUGGCCUCCUCCCUCCUCCUCCUCCUCCUCCUUCCCCUCCUCCCUCCUCCUCCUUCCUCUCCUCCUCCUCCUCCUCCUCCUCCUCCUUCCUCCUCCUCCCACUUCUAGUAUAUCCUCGGGGCAAAGGAACAGUUUUAAUUCCUUAUUUUGAGCAUCCAAUUUGGAUCAUCCACUGCUGAGAUGCUUGCAUAAAAACUGUGUUUAUGUGUCUGUGUGUGUUUAAAUCCUUUUGUUGGGAUAAUGCCAUUAUUAAAGGAAAAGGAAUGAUUAAGCCAAGAACCACUGAUCGAUGGUAAGGCAGACAAAUCUCAGGACUAAGUAUCUUGGUUUUUCUUUUCCUAGCUUCCACUGAAGGAUCCUUUGAAAGAAGAGUUUCACCUUGAAGGAUGCUUCAAACCAACAUGGGGAUAUUUUGGACAACCUUAUGCUUCCUGGUAUAUGGUUUGAACACAGACCUGGGUGUCCUGGCUAUCGCGAGCUCCCAGCCCCAGGAGGACUCAGAAGGCCUUGACAGUCCUUCAGAAGACACCAUAUCUCCAGAGAUGCUACAGGAGAUGCUGUGGUUUUUCCGAAGAGAAGACCCAUCUGCAUGGAAUUAUUCUAUCCUGGUCCUUUCCGUUCUCGUUCUGCUCAUUGGUGUUGUGCUCCUGGGAGCAAAUAUUAGGGCCAACAGAAACCAGAAGGCCUUUCUCUUACGCAAAGAAGGCUAUGAAGUCACCCCGCUGGAUGAGGCAGAAGCGAAGCAAGCGUUUGUGUUGCUAAACAAAGAGAAUCCGGAUCAAGUUGGAGACAAUUUGCUUUCCAAAACACUGACCACGGGAGACGUGAUGGUUGAACAAUUCUGUGGUUUUGUUUUUCCAACCCUCCUUCUGUGGUUGAUGGAAGAGAACUUAAAGUAGACAUUAAGAAAAGAAUGUUGGUGAAAUGGUGACGUGGAGUGUGGUUUUUCUUAACCACUUAGGGACAUGCAAAACAUGGGGUGGGUAUGAAUGUCUGAAUUUCCAAAUGUCCAGAAUUCCAAAGCACCCGAAACAACAGAUGGAAGCUGAUCAAAGAGAGAUCCAACCUGGAACUAAGGAUAUUUUUCCUGACAGUGAGAACAAUUAACCAGUGGAACGACUUGACUCCAGAAGUUGUGGCUGCUCCAUCACUGGAGGCUUUUAAGAAGAGACUGGACAGCCACCU
RNAcentral lists this long non-coding RNA (1249 nucleotides) under Notechis scutatus (mainland tiger snake). RNAcentral's name for it is "lncRNA (ENSNSUG00000002888.1)". Lineage: Eukaryota; Metazoa; Chordata; Lepidosauria; Squamata; Elapidae. The record is from RNAcentral.